Molecule: long non-coding RNA, 256 nt
Filed under: Prunus persica (peach)
Lineage: Eukaryota; Viridiplantae; Streptophyta; Magnoliopsida; Rosales; Rosaceae
Description: long non-coding RNA (PPER_LNC001217)
Source: RNAcentral
AAGAGGGCAGCAACAUCAUAUACACAGCACCUUCUCAUUGAAUUGGAUGUAUAACUACCUUUCCAGUGGCCCGAUUGGUUUCAAGGUAAGAGAAGGCCUCAACAAGCUUAGAGAAAGGGAAGGGCCCUUUGGGAUCUAUCACUGCCUUCACCUUCCCACUCUCUAAAUAUGGAUUUAGUUUCUUCAAAACAGCUCCAUUAGAAGUCACUACAAAUCUGAAGCCUGGAGGUGUUACCGCGCCUGUUAGGGCCACUAC